RNAcentral lists this ribosomal RNA (2120 nucleotides) under Blautia wexlerae. RNAcentral describes it as "partial 23S ribosomal RNA". It matches the Rfam family "Bacterial large subunit ribosomal RNA", at positions 1 to 2156 of the family's 2925-position model. The record is from RNAcentral. Lineage: Bacteria; Bacillati; Bacillota; Clostridia; Lachnospirales; Lachnospiraceae.
AGGUCAAGCAAUAAGGGCACAGGGCGGAUGCCUUGGCACUAAGAGCCGAUGAAAGACGUGAUAAGCUGCGAUAAGCUUCGGGGAGGAGCAAAUAUCCAUUGAUCCGGAGAUGUCUGAAUGGGGAAACCCACAUGAGCAAACCUCAUGUAUCCUACAGCCAAUACAUAACUGUAGGAAGGGAACCCGGGGAACUGAAACAUCUAAGUACCCGGAGGAAAAGAAAGAAAACUCGAUUCCGUAAGUAGCGGCGAGCGAACGCGGAGGAGCCUAAACCGGAAUGCGUGCAUUCCGGGGUUACGGACUGCAUUUAAGAUUCUUUGAAGCUAACAGAACGGUUUUGGGAAAGCCGGCCGGAGAGGGUGAAAGCCCCGUACGUGAAAGCUGAUGAGACUGAGCAGGAUCCAGAGUACCACGAGACACGUGGAACCUUGUGGGAAAUCAGGGGGACCACCCCCUAAGGCUAAAUACUACUUAGUGACCGAUAGCGCAUAGUACUGUGAAGGAAAGGUGAAAAGGACCCCGGGAGGGGAGUGAAAGAGAACCUGAAACCCUGUGUCUACAAGCUGUGGAAGCACUUUAUAUGUGCGACCGCGUACUUUUUGUAGAACGGUCCGGCGAGUUACGCUUACUGGCAAGGUUAAGCACUUCAGGUGUGGAGCCGUAGGGAAACCAAGUCUUAAGAGGGCCUUAAGUCAGUAGGAGUAGACCCGAAACCGGGUGAUCUAUCCAUGUCCAGGUUGAAGCUGCCGUAAGAGGUAGUGGAGGACCGAACCCACAUCCGUUGAAAAGGGUGGGGAUGAGGUGUGGAUAGGGGAGAAAUUCCAAUCGAACCCGGAGAUAGCUGGUUCUCCUCGAAAUAGCUUUAGGGCUAGCCUCGAUACAGAUUUGCGGAGGUAGAGCACUGAAUUUCCUAGGGGGCGUCAAAGCCUACCGAAGAAUAUCAAACUCCGAAUGCCGCGUAAUCGAUUAUCGGGAGUCAGACUGCACGAGAUAAGUUGGGCGGUCAAAAGGGAAAGAGCCCAGACCUUCAGUUAAGGUCCCCAAGUGCGCGUUAAGUGGAAAAGGAUGUGGGAUUUCGAAGACAACCAGGAUGUUGGCUCAGAAGCAGCCAUCCAUUCAAAGAGUGCGUAAUAGCUCACUGGUCGAGAGGUCCUGCGCCGAAAAUGUCCGGGGCUGAAACGCGCCACCGAAACUAAGGAACCGAAAGGUUGGUAGAGGAGCAUUGCAUGCGGGAAGAAGCAGUACCGGAAGGAGCUGUGGACUGCAUGGAAGAGAGAAUGCCGGAAUGAGUAGCGAGAAUAAGGUGAGAAUCCUUAUGGCCGAAUAUCCAAGGUUUCCAGAGUAAAGCUGAUCUGCUCUGGGUAAGUCGGGGCCUAAGGCGAGGACGAGAGUCGUAGCCGAUGGACAACAGGUGGAGAUUCCUGUACUGCGGUAUGACAGAACUGUGGGGACACGUAAGGAAAGCGGAAGCCGGGAAUGGAAAGCCCGGUGCAAGCGGGGUACCAGCCACUCUGGCAAAUCCGGGUGGCAAUGGGAAGCCGUGAUGCGGAGCGAAAUAAAGUAGCGAAGUCCGUGAGCCAUGCGUCAAGAAAAGCCGCUAUCGUUUAUACCGUACCCGUACCGUAAACCGACACAGGUGGAUGAGGAGAGAAUCCUAAGGCCGGCGGAAGAAGCAUUGUCAAGGAACUCGGCAAAAUGGCCCCGUAACUUAGGGAUAAGGGGUGCCUGGGAAACCAGGCCGCAGAGAAUAGGCUCAAGCAACUGUUUAGCAAAAACACAGGUCUAUGCGAAACCGAAAGGUGAGGUAUAUGGGCUGACGCCUGCCCGGUGCUGGAAGGUUAAGAGGAGAGGUUAGCGGUAACGCGAAGCUUUGAAUUUAAGCCCCAGUAAACGGCGGCCGUAACUAUAACGGUCCUAAGGUAGCGAAAUUCCUUGUCGGGUAAGUUCCGACCCGCACGAAAGGCGUAAUGAUUUGAGCGCUGUCUCGACAAUGCAUCCGGUGAAAUUGAAGUACCAGUGAAGAUGCUGGUUACCUGCGCCAGGACGGAAAGACCCCAUGGAGCUUUACUCCAGUCUGGUACUGGGACUCGGUAUUGCAUGUACAGGAUAGGUGGGAGGCU